GACGAACGCUGGCGGCGUGCUUAACACAUGCAAGUCGAACGGAAAGGCCCCUUUUGGGGUACUCGAGUGGCGCACGGGUGAGUAACACGUGAGUAACCUGCCCUUGACUUCGGGAUAACUUCAGGAAACUGGGGCUAAUACCGGAUAGGAAUCCUUGCUGCAUGGUGGGGGUUGGAAAGCUUCGGCGGUUUUGGAUGGACUCGCGGCUUAUCAGCUUGUUGGUGGGGUAGUGGCUUACCAAGGCUUUGACGGGUAGCCGGCCUGAGAGGGCGACCGGCCACAUUGGGACUGAGAUACGGCCCAGACUCCUACGGGAGGCAGCAGUGGGGAAUAUUGCACAAUGGGCGGAAGCCGGAUGCAGCAACGCCGCGUGCGGGAUGACGGCCUUCGGGUUGUAAACCGCUUUCAGCAGGGGCGAAGCUUGUGGUGACGGUACCUGCAGAAGAAGCACCGGCUAACUACGUG
This 465-nucleotide ribosomal RNA is filed under the name uncultured bacterium. RNAcentral's name for it is "partial 16S ribosomal RNA". It matches the Rfam family "Bacterial small subunit ribosomal RNA", at positions 28 to 507 of the family's 1533-position model. The record is from RNAcentral.